This 2919-nucleotide ribosomal RNA is filed under the name Staphylococcus aureus. Its description in RNAcentral is "23S ribosomal RNA". It matches the Rfam family "Bacterial large subunit ribosomal RNA". Lineage: Bacteria; Bacillati; Bacillota; Bacilli; Caryophanales; Staphylococcaceae. The record is from RNAcentral.
UUAAGUUAUUAAGGGCGCACGGUGGAUGCCUUGGCACUAGAAGCCGAUGAAGGACGUUACUAACGACGAUAUGCUUUGGGGAGCUGUAAGUAAGCUUUGAUCCAGAGAUUUCCGAAUGGGGAAACCCAGCAUGAGUUAUGUCAUGUUAUCGAUAUGUGAAUACAUAGCAUAUCAGAAGGCACACCCGGAGAACUGAAACAUCUUAGUACCCGGAGGAAGAGAAAGAAAAUUCGAUUCCCUUAGUAGCGGCGAGCGAAACGGGAAGAGCCCAAACCAACAAGCUUGCUUGUUGGGGUUGUAGGACACUCUAUACGGAGUUACAAAGGACGACAUUAGACGAAUCAUCUGGAAAGAUGAAUCAAAGAAGGUAAUAAUCCUGUAGUCGAAAAUGUUGUCUCUCUUGAGUGGAUCCUGAGUACGACGGAGCACGUGAAAUUCCGUCGGAAUCUGGGAGGACCAUCUCCUAAGGCUAAAUACUCUCUAGUGACCGAUAGUGAACCAGUACCGUGAGGGAAAGGUGAAAAGCACCCCGGAAGGGGAGUGAAAUAGAACCUGAAACCGUGUGCUUACAAGUAGUCAGAGCCCGUUAAUGGGUGAUGGCGUGCCUUUUGUAGAAUGAACCGGCGAGUUACGAUUUGAUGCAAGGUUAAGCAGUAAAUGUGUAGCCGUAGCGAAAGCGAGUCUGAAUAGGGCGUUUAGUAUUUGGUCGUAGACCCGAAACCAGGUGAUCUACCCUUGGUCAGGUUGAAGUUCAGGUAACACUGAAUGGAGGACCGAACCGACUUACGUUGAAAAGUGAGCGGAUGAACUGAGGGUAGCGGAGAAAUUCCAAUCGAACCUGGAGAUAGCUGGUUCUCUCCGAAAUAGCUUUAGGGCUAGCCUCAAGUGAUGAUUAUUGGAGGUAGAGCACUGUUUGGACGAGGGGCCCCUCUCGGGUUACCGAAUUCAGACAAACUCCGAAUGCCAAUUAAUUUAACUUGGGAGUCAGAACAUGGGUGAUAAGGUCCGUGUUCGAAAGGGAAACAGCCCAGACCACCAGCUAAGGUCCCAAAAUAUAUGUUAAGUGGAAAAGGAUGUGGCGUUGCCCAGACAACUAGGAUGUUGGCUUAGAAGCAGCCAUCAUUUAAAGAGUGCGUAAUAGCUCACUAGUCGAGUGACACUGCGCCGAAAAUGUACCGGGGCUAAACAUAUUACCGAAGCUGUGGAUUGUCCUUUGGACAAUGGUAGGAGAGCGUUCUAAGGGCGUUGAAGCAUGAUCGUAAGGACAUGUGGAGCGCUUAGAAGUGAGAAUGCCGGUGUGAGUAGCGAAAGACGGGUGAGAAUCCCGUCCACCGAUUGACUAAGGUUUCCAGAGGAAGGCUCGUCCGCUCUGGGUUAGUCGGGUCCUAAGCUGAGGCCGACAGGCGUAGGCGAUGGAUAACAGGUUGAUAUUCCUGUACCACCUAUAAUCGUUUUAAUCGAUGGGGGGACGCAGUAGGAUAGGCGAAGCGUGCGAUUGGAUUGCACGUCUAAGCAGUAAGGCUGAGUAUUAGGCAAAUCCGGUACUCGUUAAGGCUGAGCUGUGAUGGGGAGAAGACAUUGUGUCUUCGAGUCGUUGAUUUCACACUGCCGAGAAAAGCCUCUAGAUAGAAAAUAGGUGCCCGUACCGCAAACCGACACAGGUAGUCAAGAUGAGAAUUCUAAGGUGAGCGAGCGAACUCUCGUUAAGGAACUCGGCAAAAUGACCCCGUAACUUCGGGAGAAGGGGUGCUCUUUAGGGUUAACGCCCAGAAGAGCCGCAGUGAAUAGGCCCAAGCGACUGUUUAUCAAAAACACAGGUCUCUGCUAAACCGUAAGGUGAUGUAUAGGGGCUGACGCCUGCCCGGUGCUGGAAGGUUAAGAGGAGUGGUUAGCUUCUGCGAAGCUACGAAUCGAAGCCCCAGUAAACGGCGGCCGUAACUAUAACGGUCCUAAGGUAGCGAAAUUCCUUGUCGGGUAAGUUCCGACCCGCACGAAAGGCGUAACGAUUUGGGCACUGUCUCAACGAGAGACUCGGUGAAAUCAUAGUACCUGUGAAGAUGCAGGUUACCCGCGACAGGACGGAAAGACCCCGUGGAGCUUUACUGUAGCCUGAUAUUGAAAUUCGGCACAGCUUGUACAGGAUAGGUAGGAGCCUUUGAAACGUGAGCGCUAGCUUACGUGGAGGCGCUGGUGGGAUACUACCCUAGCUGUGUUGGCUUUCUAACCCGCACCACUUAUCGUGGUGGGAGACAGUGUCAGGCGGGCAGUUUGACUGGGGCGGUCGCCUCCUAAAAGGUAACGGAGGCGCUCAAAGGUUCCCUCAGAAUGGUUGGAAAUCAUUCAUAGAGUGUAAAGGCAUAAGGGAGCUUGACUGCGAGACCUACAAGUCGAGCAGGGUCGAAAGACGGACUUAGUGAUCCGGUGGUUCCGCAUGGAAGGGCCAUCGCUCAACGGAUAAAAGCUACCCCGGGGAUAACAGGCUUAUCUCCCCCAAGAGUUCACAUCGACGGGGAGGUUUGGCACCUCGAUGUCGGCUCAUCGCAUCCUGGGGCUGUAGUCGGUCCCAAGGGUUGGGCUGUUCGCCCAUUAAAGCGGUACGCGAGCUGGGUUCAGAACGUCGUGAGACAGUUCGGUCCCUAUCCGUCGUGGGCGUAGGAAAUUUGAGAGGAGCUGUCCUUAGUACGAGAGGACCGGGAUGGACAUACCUCUGGUGUACCAGUUGUCGUGCCAACGGCAUAGCUGGGUAGCUAUGUGUGGACGGGAUAAGUGCUGAAAGCAUCUAAGCAUGAAGCCCCCCUCAAGAUGAGAUUUCCCAACUUCGGUUAUAAGAUCCCUCAAAGAUGAUGAGGUUAAUAGGUUCGAGGUGGAAGCAUGGUGACAUGUGGAGCUGACGAAUACUAAUCGAUCGAAGACUUAAUC